This 74-nucleotide transfer RNA is filed under the name Candidatus Altimarinota bacterium. Its description in RNAcentral is "tRNA-Pro". It matches the Rfam family "tRNA". From Rfam's summary of the family: Transfer RNA (tRNA) molecules are approximately 80 nucleotides in length. Their secondary structure includes four short double-helical elements and three loops (D, anti-codon, and T loops). Further hydrogen bonds mediate the characteristic L-shaped molecular structure. tRNAs have two regions of fundamental functional importance: the anti-codon, which is responsible for specific mRNA codon recognition, and the 3' end, to which the tRNAs corresponding amino acid is attached (by aminoacyl-tRNA synthetases). tRNAs cope with the degeneracy of the genetic code in two manners: having more than one tRNA (with a specific anti-codon) for a particular amino acid; and 'wobble' base-pairing, i.e. permitting non-standard base-pairing at the 3rd anti-codon position. Lineage: Bacteria; Candidatus Altimarinota. The record is from RNAcentral. RNAcentral also lists the same sequence under 8 other names.
CGGGGAUUAGCUCAGAUGGCUAGAGUGCUUGGUUUGGGACCAAGAGGUCGCGAGUUCGAGUCCCGCAUCCCCGA